Molecule: ribosomal RNA, 494 nt
Filed under: uncultured bacterium
Lineage: Bacteria
Description: partial 16S ribosomal RNA
Rfam family: Bacterial small subunit ribosomal RNA
Source: RNAcentral
GACGAACGCUGGCGGCGUGCUUAGCACAUGCAAGUCGAACGGUGAAGCGCCUGCCUUUUUGGUGGGUGCGGAUGUGUGGCGAACGGGUUAGUAACACGUGAGUAACCUGCGUCCUUCUGCUGGGUAACCGCAUGAAAUUGUGGCGCAGACGGGAUAGUCUGGGUCGGGCGCAGGAGUGGGCUGAGAAAGUGAUGGUGUCGGUGGGGGAGGGGCUCGCGGCCUAUCAGCUUGUUGGUGGGGUGAUGGCCUACCAAGGCGGUGACGGGUAGCCGGCCUGAGGGGGUGGAGGGACACAGUGGGACUGAGCCACCGCCUAGACUCGUACGGGGGGCAGCAGUGGGGAAUAUUGCACCAUGGGCGCAAGCCUGAUGCCGCGACGCCGCGUGAGGAAUGGAGGACUUCGGGUUGUGAACCUCUUUCGCGAGUGAAGCAGGCCUGGCCCGUCUGUGCGUGGCUUGACGGUAGCUGGAUAAGCAGCGCCGGCUAACUACGUG